GGCUCGAAGGACCAAAAAAUGUGUGCGCCCUGAACAGGGACGACCCGAAGGACCACUCGGUGAUGCCCGAGCACAAUUUAUUAUAUUAAUGUUUGGCCAAUGUCCCCACUAACGUCGCAUAUGUCCCUGGGUAGGCAACUAUAUGGACUCGCGCCUGACAGUGAGACGGGUAGGCAAUUCUACGCACGUCGACAACAACGGCAGGGAAGGGAGUGACCUAACGAGGAAGGAGGAUGAUGCAAGUUAGUUAUGGGGAGGGUGUCUCUGUGGUCGAGUCGUUUGGUGCAAUGACCACAGAGCUCACAACAAAACAGGAUAAGACUUAACCACUAACUUAACCUACUGAAGUCUUGAGAAGGUGAUCUGGACGUCCUAGGCGGCCUCUCACACAACAGAUAUUAUGUUGCUGGCGGUCUUACGCUGCGGCACUGUCUUUGACGGAGACGUGGACGACGGUAGUGGAAAGAAUUUGGGUAAUAAAGUAGGUACUCACGAUUAAUUUGUUGUUACAGGUUUAUUUCUGACGGGUCGCCCAAUGCGCCCUCAUGAGUAUAAUUUAUUGUAGUAAUCCACGUAAGCAACGGGUGCGCACAAUGCGAUUUACUAAAAGACAAUAUAUAUAGGUAAACGCUUCAAUAGCGGAACAAUAGUAGACAUACGAAUACACAAAAACCGUAAAAGACGGGUGCGCACAAUGCGACUUAGUAAA
Molecule: long non-coding RNA, 709 nt
Organism: Myzus persicae (green peach aphid)
Lineage: Eukaryota; Metazoa; Arthropoda; Insecta; Hemiptera; Aphididae
Exons: 2
Source: RefSeq, a predicted model, not a curated record